GAGCUCCUACGCAGCCACAGCCGCCGCCUCCAACCAUCUCCCUCCCUCAGAUCUCGAACCGCCGCCGCCCCCCCCCCCCCCCCCACCGCCACCGUCGACGACCCUCACCGUAGACAAGAUCGAGCCCAUGCCCAGAUUCAUGAGUGGAGCCCCGCGAAGCUGCCCGCAAACUGCUCCUCUUCCCCAUCCCCGAUUCCUCUCCAAUCUCCACCGCCGCCGAUCCCCACCCCCCACCGGCGACAUCGUCUCCCCGUCCCCGGCCCCAUCCCCACCUCCGGCCGACCUCCCUCCUCAUCUCGUCCAUCCAACCAUGGAAACCUCCUUUUCCACGGAUCCACCCACCCUCCCACGUCCACCCAUGGAUGGAUGGAUGGAUGGGGCGCACCAGUUCCGGCGACGGCGGCGCCGGAUCCGCACCCACCUGCGCGAUGGAGGCCGGCCGCAUCGGGAUCCACCGCCUGCUCUCGGUCUGGUGCGGCACACCGGACCACACCUGAGAUUGCUACUGCGGUGGCCGUCGACGACGGCGCAUCUCCGGCGGGACCUAGAUGCCCAAGGCAUGCAUCCGUGGUUGGUGACCUCGUGUGCCGCCAUUGCCAGAGGCUGGCUGGCUGGAUCGACGGACGUCCGCGGUGCUGGUGUUUGCAGCCUUACAUCACAGAUUCCUGCAGUUCCAGGCUGAUUGGUGAGAUUACAGUUAUAAGGGUGGAUCGAUUAGCAUACUCUGCCUACUGAAUGCGUCCACAUAAACUGCCAGGUUAUAUAAGCUCGUGCGGAUGGGAGGUGGAUGCCCGCACGGAUCCGGCGUCUCCGACCUCGGCAUCCACAAGGAGGAGCGGCGACAGUUACAUACCCAACCAUGGGGCAGCAGCAAUUCAUGCAGACCGUAGCGACUUCGUAACUCAGCGAACUGAAAAAUGAUGGAGAUUUUGUGGAUAGCCACAGGGGCGUAUUGAGUCUGUUCCUAUAUACGUGUUGAGUCUGUUCCUAUGUACUGCAUAUUGUGUAAUGGAGUUUGCUUGUAUGGUGUUUGUGACAAUGUUUGUAUGAAAAUAAUUGACAUUGGUGACAGCGUACAUGGCCAUUAGAAACGCGGAAGCGUACAGCGGCUGCGGCUGCCCAUGCCCUGCUUCUCCUGGUCUCUGUGUACCCUGCCUGCAUACUGUCUGUUUGUGAUUUGUUCUAGCAAGUAUCUGUUCAUGAGAAAUAAGCUCUCCAGGAUUCACUGGACCAACAACUACUUGUUCUAGCAUGUUUAUUUCAAGAAAUUUGUGAUUCAUGCUGUUUGAUGAACCAGUACCCAUGUCGGGAGACUAGUAGAACUUGCAAACUUCAGUUUUCUCACCGGUAGUCACUUAUCCUGCUGUUCAUGUCCAUACAACAUUUGUAUUGGUUCUAUGUUACAGCUGCUGCAAACAAUUUAUUAAUGUGGGAUGUGGCUCUUUGUCCAGUUCUCUUUCUCUUCUAAAGAAAUCCCCUCUGCCUCUGGUGUGCAGCAAGUUGAUUGUUCUGUAUCUGUAUUAUU
This is an RNA transcript of Triticum aestivum (bread wheat), 1525 nucleotides long. RefSeq lists it as uncharacterized. Lineage: Eukaryota; Viridiplantae; Streptophyta; Magnoliopsida; Poales; Poaceae. The transcript is spliced from 5 exons. The record is from RefSeq and is a predicted model, not a curated record.